RNAcentral lists this ribosomal RNA (433 nucleotides) under uncultured bacterium. RNAcentral describes it as "partial 16S ribosomal RNA". It matches the Rfam family "Bacterial small subunit ribosomal RNA", at positions 29 to 507 of the family's 1533-position model. The record is from RNAcentral.
AACGAACGCUGGCGGCAUGCCUAACACAUGCAAGUCGAACGAGACCUUCGGGUCUAGUGGCGCACGGGUGCGUAACGCGUGGGAACCUGCCUUUAGGUUCGGAAUAACUCAGAGAAAUUUGAGCUAACACCGGAUGAUGUCUUCGGACCAAAGAUUUAUCGCCUUUAGAUGGGCCCGCGUUGGAUUAGCUAGUUGGUGGGGUAAAGGCCUACCAAGGCGACGAUCCAUAGCUGGUCUGAGAGGAUGAUCAGCCACACUGGGACUGAGACACGGCCCAGACUCCUACGGGAGGCAGCAGUGGGGAAUAUUGGACAAUGGGCGAAAGCCUGAUCCAGCAAUGCCGCGUGAGUGAUGAAGGCCUUAGGGUUGUAAAGCUCUUUUACCCGAGAUGAUAAUGACAGUAUCGGGAGAAUAAGCUCCGGCUAACUCCGUG